This 827-nucleotide ribosomal RNA is filed under the name Xanthoparmelia stenophylla. RNAcentral describes it as "SSU rRNA". It matches the Rfam family "Bacterial small subunit ribosomal RNA", at positions 356 to 1146 of the family's 1533-position model. The record is from RNAcentral. Lineage: Eukaryota; Fungi; Ascomycota; Lecanoromycetes; Lecanorales; Parmeliaceae.
GAGGAAUGUAUAGCAAUAGCUACUUGCAUCAUAGUAGAUAUGAUGCAAGAUCGACUAUGUUGAAUAAAAUUCUAGGUAGAAUUAUGAUAAUGACAUUGUCUGCCUAUGUGUCUUGACCAAAUUACGUGCCAGCAGUCGCGGUAAUACGUAGAAGACUAGUGUUAUUCAUGUUUAAUCGGUUUAAAGGGUACCUAGACGGUAGAUCAAGCUUUCUAAUAAAGGAAAAGGACUAAUUUACUAGAGUUACUUAUGAGGGGGUAUUAAAGUACUGCUGGUGUAGAGAUGAAAUUCUGUCAUACCUCUUUUCAAAAGAAAAACCAUGGCACAGGUAUAGGCGAAGGCAUCCCCUUAUGUGAUAACUGACGUUGAGGGACGAAGGCUUUGUGUAGCGAACAGGAUUAGAUACCCCAGUAGUCGAAGCAGAAAAUGAUGAAUGUCAUAGAUUAGAUAUAUAAGUUUAUUCUAUAAAUGAAAGUGUAAGCAUUCCACCUCAUGAGUAAUUUGGCAACAUUGGAACUGAAAUCAUUAGACCGUUUCUGAAACCAGUAGUGAAGUAUGUUGUUUAAUUUGAUGAUCCGCAAAAAACCUUACCACAAUUUGAAUAUUUAUAUUGUUUAUUGUUUUAUUAUUAAUUUUCUUGAACGUAAAAGAAAAGAGAGAUGUAGGAUAAUAGUAAGAAAAUUAAUAAAGAAGCAAUAAGAUAUAAUUACAAGCGUUGCACGGCUGUCUUCAGUUAAUGUCGCGAGACUUUGGUUAGUUCCAUUAAAUUAACGUAAACCCUUACUUUAUUUUUAUAUAGAGUAGUUCCCCGCUAUAUUGGAUAUGAU